UACGGAGGGGGCUAGCGUUGUUCGGAAUUACUGGGCGUAAAGCGCACGUAGGCGGCUUUGUAAGUUAGAGGUGAAAGCCCGGAGCUCAACUCCGGAAUUGCCUUUGAGACUGCAUCGCUCGAAUCAUGGAGAGGUGAGUGGAAUUCCGAGUGUAGAGGUGAAAUUCGUAGAUAUUCGGAAGAACACCAGUGGCGAAGGCGACUCACUGGACAUGUAUUGACGCUGAGGUGCGAAAGCGUGGGGAGCAAACAGG
RNAcentral lists this ribosomal RNA (253 nucleotides) under uncultured bacterium. RNAcentral describes it as "partial 16S ribosomal RNA". It matches the Rfam family "Bacterial small subunit ribosomal RNA", at positions 524 to 776 of the family's 1533-position model. The record is from RNAcentral.